AUAGCUCAGAGAUGAGUGAAGCCCUUCGGGGCGCAUAGACAGGUGGUGCAUGGUUGUUGUCAGCUCGUGUCGUGAGAUGUUGGGUUAAGUCCCGCAACGAGCGCAACCCUUGUAUUUAGUUGCUACGUAAGAGCACUCUAGAUAGACUGCCGUUGACAAAACGGAGGAAGGUGGGGAUGACGUCAAAUCAUCAUGCCCCUUACGACCUGGGCCACACACGUACUACAAUGGCGCGCAACAGAGGGAAGCAAAACAGCGAUGUGGAGCAAACCCCUAAAACGCGUCCCAGUUCAGAUUGCAGGCUGCAACCCGCCUGCAUGAAGUCGGAAUUGCUAGUAAUCGCGGAUCAGCAUGCCGCGGUGAAUACGUUCCCGGGCCUUGUACACACCGCCCGUCACACCAUGGGAGCCGGUAACACCCGAAGUCAGUAGCCUAACUGCAAAGAGGGCGCUGCCGAAGGUGGGAUUGGUGACUGGGGUGAAGUCGUAACAAGGUAGCCGUAUCGGAAGGUGCGGUUGGAUCACCUCC
This 528-nucleotide ribosomal RNA is filed under the name uncultured bacterium. RNAcentral's name for it is "bacterial SSU rRNA". It matches the Rfam family "Bacterial small subunit ribosomal RNA", at positions 995 to 1530 of the family's 1533-position model. The record is from RNAcentral.